AUUGAACGCUGGCGGCAGGCCUAACACAUGCUAGUCGAGCGAGCGGCGGACGGGUGAGUAAUGUCUGGGAAACUGCCUGAUUGCGGGGGAUCACUCCUGGACACGGUAGCUAAUACCGCUUACCCUCAGCUGUACCCAGAUGGGAUUAGCUAGUAGGUGGGGUAAUGGAUCACCGAGGCGACGAUCCCUAGCUGGUCUGAGCGGAUGACCAGCCAAACUGGAACUGAGACAGGGUCCAGACGCCGACGGGAGGCAGCAGUGGGGAAUAUUGCAAAAUGGGCGCAAGCCUGAUGCAGCCAUGGCGGGUGUAUGAAGAAGGACUUCGGGUUGUAAAGCACUGUCAGCGAGGAGGCGUAACUCGCAGAAGAAGCACGGGCAAACACCGUGCCAGCCGCAGCGGUAAUAC
RNAcentral lists this ribosomal RNA (406 nucleotides) under uncultured bacterium. RNAcentral describes it as "partial 16S ribosomal RNA". It matches the Rfam family "Bacterial small subunit ribosomal RNA", at positions 29 to 526 of the family's 1533-position model. The record is from RNAcentral.